This 645-nucleotide ribosomal RNA is filed under the name Triticum aestivum (bread wheat). RNAcentral's name for it is "partial small subunit ribosomal RNA". The record is from RNAcentral. Lineage: Eukaryota; Viridiplantae; Streptophyta; Magnoliopsida; Poales; Poaceae.
AUGGAUCGAUUCCGGCCGCUCAGGCGGAUCCAGGUGGAGCCCGAGCGCGCUGCCCCGCCCCCUGCCCCGCCGGCGGUGGCAAUCGGCGAAGCGGCUGCGGUGCCCGCGGCCGGGAUGCUCAUGGGUGCCAAGGUGCGGCGCCGCGCGGCCGUCUACCGCGACUGCAUGGGCGACUACAUCGGCGUGCACAACGACCCGUGCCUGGCCAAGAUCCUGUCCAAGCAAGGGGAUAACAAAGUUCUGUUUGCGGACAAGGUGCUGAAGUUCACUCAGUCAGGAAAGAUGAAAAGGCGCAUCCUUGUGAUCACAGACUUUGCUCUCUACCUUGUCGACCCUGAUGCUGAUAUAUUGAAGAGAAGAAUAGCACUUGCAGCUGUUGAUAAGCUAUGUAUAAGCAAGCUCAGUGAUAACUUCUUUGCAAUCAUUGUGCCGACGGAGUAUGAUUGUUUAAUGGCCAGCACUAGAAAGAAAGAAAUCGUUGAUGUUAUAGUUAAGGCUAUCAAGAGCACAUCUGAGUAUGAACCUGAGGUGGCUUCCUCUAACAGGUUUGAGUACCAUGCUGCUGCCGAAGUGAUUAAAGAAGUUGAAUUUGAAGAAGCUGAUGGACGCGUCAAAACUAGGAUCACCCUCAAGGAGAAGCCAUGA